Molecule: ribosomal RNA, 386 nt
Filed under: uncultured eukaryote
Lineage: Eukaryota
Description: partial 18S ribosomal RNA
Rfam family: Eukaryotic small subunit ribosomal RNA
Source: RNAcentral
CAAUAGCGUAUAUUAAAGUUGUUGCAGUUAAAAAGCUCGUAGUUGGAUUUGUGGCAUUUUGCCUGCCGUUUCCUUUGCCUAGUGCAUUGGUGUAUGUGCGGGCGUGCCUUUUUUGGUUGGAACCUGUGUGGCAUUAGGUUGUCGUGCAGGGGAUGGCCAUCGGUUACUGUGAAAAAAUUAGAGUGUUCAAAGCAGGCUUAUGCCGUUGAAUAUAUUAGCAUGGAAUAAUGAUAUAGGACCUUGGUACUAUUUUGUUGGUUUGCGCACUGAGGUAAUGAUUAAUAGGGACAGUUGGGGGUAUUCGUAUUCCAUUGUCAGAGGUGAAAUUCUUGGAUUUUUGGAAGACGAACUACUGCGAAAGCAUUUACCAAGGAUGUUUUCAUUAA